GAAGUACUCCCUCCAUCCCAAAUUUCUUGUCUUAAAUUUGUCUAAAUAUGGAUGUAUCAAGUCAUGUUUUAGUAUUAGAUACAUCCGUAUCUAGACGAAUCUAAGACAAGAUUUUGGUACAGAGGGAGUAGGAU
Non-coding RNA from Triticum aestivum (bread wheat), 134 nucleotides. The record is from Rfam. Lineage: Eukaryota; Viridiplantae; Streptophyta; Magnoliopsida; Poales; Poaceae.